GACGAACGCUGGCGGCGUGCUUAACACAUGCAAGUCGAACGAUGAACCACUUCGGUGGGGAUUAGUGGCGAACGGGUGAGUAACACGUGGGCAAUCUGCCCUGCACUCUGGGACAAGCCCUGGAAACGGGGUCUAAUACCGGAUACUGACCCUCGCAGGCAUCUGCGAGGUUCGAAAGCUCCGGCGGUGCAGGAUGAGCCCGCGGCCUAUCAGCUUGUUGGUGAGGUAAUGGCUCACCAAGGCGACGACGGGUAGCCGGCCUGAGAGGGCGACCGGCCACACUGGGACUGAGACACGGCCCAGACUCCUACGGGAGGCAGCAGUGGGGAAUAUUGCACAAUGGGCGAAAGCCUGAUGCAGCGACGCCGCGUGAGGGAUGACGGCCUUCGGGUUGUAAACCUCUUUCAGCAGGGAAGAAGCGAAAGUGACGGUACCUGCAGAAGAAGCGCCGGCUAACUACGUGCCAGCAGCCGCGGUAAUACGUAGGGCGCAAGCGUUGUCCGGAAUUAUUGGGCGUAAAGAGCUCGUAGGCGGCUUGUCGCGUCGGUUGUGAAAGCCCGGGGCUUAACCCCGGGUCUGCAGUCGAUACGGGCAGGCUAGAGUUCGGUAGGGGAGAUCGGAAUUCCUGGUGUAGCGGUGAAAUGCGCAGAUAUCAGGAGGAACACCGGUGGCGAAGGCGGAUCUCUGGGCCGAUACUGACGCUGAGGAGCGAAAGCGUGGGGAGCGAACAGGAUUAGAUACCCUGGUAGUCCACGCCGUAAACGGUGGGCACUAGGUGUGGGCAACAUUCCACGUUGUCCGUGCCGCAGCUAACGCAUUAAGUGCCCC
Molecule: ribosomal RNA, 828 nt
Filed under: Streptomyces tendae
Lineage: Bacteria; Bacillati; Actinomycetota; Actinomycetes; Kitasatosporales; Streptomycetaceae
Description: bacterial SSU rRNA
Rfam family: Bacterial small subunit ribosomal RNA
Source: RNAcentral